Limulus polyphemus (Atlantic horseshoe crab) is the source of this 426-nucleotide long non-coding RNA. RefSeq lists it as uncharacterized. NCBI's taxonomy places the organism in Eukaryota, Metazoa, Arthropoda, Merostomata, Xiphosura, Limulidae. The record is from RefSeq and is a predicted model, not a curated record. The transcript is spliced from 2 exons.
AAGAACAUUCUCUGUUUUUUUAUCAUACUUUACAGCUCUUCUGCUUCGUCAUCUCGUGAAAGGGACAUUUUUUACCAGCGGACUAACUCACGGACUCAAUUUAAAAGCAGAUAGCGGUGAUGACCUGACAAUCAAGUUUAAACCAGAUUGCAUUGCUGUAGAUGGUAUUAAUAUUGAGUACUCUGAUAUCACCGCAUCCAAUGGCGUCAUUCACGUAAUCGACCAUUUCUUGUGAUGUCAUCAGAAAUACUGAGGCUUUUUUGUGUAGUUUACAUUGAUUGGUACCGGCUUUGUUUAGCAUGUUACACGAUAACUAGAAUAAAUAGUCGAUCACGACGCCCAUGUUACUUUUUUUUUAUCUUGUUAGCUGAUUUUUCGCAAACUGUAAACUUUAAACAAAACUCAAUAAAUGUCCUUAUGAAAUAA